RNAcentral lists this ribosomal RNA (252 nucleotides) under uncultured bacterium. RNAcentral describes it as "partial 16S ribosomal RNA". It matches the Rfam family "Bacterial small subunit ribosomal RNA", at positions 57 to 305 of the family's 1533-position model. The record is from RNAcentral.
GCAAGUCGAGCGGUAACAGGCGGGAGCUUGCUCCUGCGCUGACGAGUGGCGGACGGGUGAGUAAUGCAUAGGAAUCUGCCCAGUAGUGGGGGACAACACGGAGAAAUUCGUGCUAAUACCGCAUACGUCCUACGGGAGAAAGCGGGGGAUCUUCGGACCUCGCGCUACUGGAUGAGCCUAUGUCAGAUUAGCUUGUUGGUAGGGUAACGGCCUACCAAGGCAACGAUCUGUAGCUGGUCUGAGAGGAUGAUC